RNAcentral lists this transfer RNA (72 nucleotides) under Bos taurus (domestic cattle). It matches the Rfam family "tRNA". Rfam says of the family: Transfer RNA (tRNA) molecules are approximately 80 nucleotides in length. RNAcentral also lists the same sequence under 2 other names. The record is from Rfam by way of RNAcentral. Lineage: Eukaryota; Metazoa; Chordata; Mammalia; Artiodactyla; Bovidae.
UCCCUGGUGGCUCAGAUGGUAAAGUGCCUGCCUAUAAUGCGGGAGACCUGGGUUCAAUCCCUGGGUUGGGAA